GUUUAAGAUUAUUGUUCAAGUAAGUAGAGUAAAAAUUAAAUAUAAGAAAAUUAAUUUAUAUAAAGAUAGUAGUGAUUAAUGAAAUCAGAUAAGGAGCAAUAGAGUAAAAGUACUGUAAAGGAAUAUUUUGUUUAUAGAGUUUAUAACGUUUAUAGUAAUUAUAAGUGAUUGUACCUUGUGUAUCAGGGAGGAUUUAAAUUAUUUAAAAAUUAAUAAAAUUCUCGAAAUAAAUAAUAGCUAAUUUUAUAAAAAGGUUUAUAUUGCAAAAUGAAACUUUAAUAUAAAAUUAAAGAUGAUAUGUUAAACGAGUUUUAUGAUAUCUAGUUUUCUAAGAAAUAAGUAUAAUUUAGACUUUAAAUUAAAAUAAUUUAGAGUUUAAAAGUAGGAGGGAUUAGCUUCUUAUUUUAUAAAGUUAUUAUAAUAGGUAAGUGUAUAUAUGUAUAUUGUUAAAUUAGGCUUAAAAGUAGCCAUAUUAUUAAAGUGUUUUAACUAAUAGAAGAGAAAAAAGAAGGAUUAGCUUUAUUUUUUAUUAGGAUGUUUAUAAUAAUUAAAUAUAUUGAGAAAUAAUGAUUCUAUUAGUAUAAAUGUUGAUAAUAUUAUGAUUGAAUAAUAAAAUAAUGGUAAAUUAUAAUUUUAUAAAGAUAUAGUAAAGGAAUUCGGCAAAUUUAUUCUUUGCUUGUUUAUCAAAAACAUGUCUGUUUGAAGGUUUAGAUAGUCUGACCUGCUCACUGACAAUUAGUUUAAGAGCCGCGGUAAUUUGACCGUGCAAAGGUAGCAUAAUCAUUAGUUCUUUAAUUGAGAACUUGUAUGAAGGGUUUGACAAGGGAAAUACUGUCUUUAUUAUAAAUGUUGAAGUUAACUUUUAAGUGAAAAGGCUUAAAUAAUUCAGAGGGACGAUAAGACCCUAUAAAGUUUUAUAUAAUUAAUAAAAUUGAAUUAAAAUUUUCUAUAUAAAUAUUAGAUUAUUUAUUAUAUUUUAUUGGGGCGAUAAAGAUAUAAGUAAUAUUAACUGUUUAUAUUUUAUACACGGAUAAGUGAAGUCAGAAGGCUAUUAAUUGAUCCUUAAGAGUUAAGAUUAAAAGACUAAAUUACUUUAGGGAUAACAGCGUAAUUUUCUUUGAGAGUUCAUAUCGAAAAGAAAGAUUGCGACCUCGAUGUUGAAUUAAAAUAUCUUUAUGGAGCAGAAUUUAUAAAAGAGGGUCUGUUCGACCUUUAAAUUUUUACAUGAUUUGAGUUCAGACCGGCGUGAGCCAGGUUGGUUUCUAUCUUUUGAUAUUAAGUUAAAUUAUUUUAGUACGAAAGGAUUAAAUAGUUUUAAAUUUUGAUAGUGAGAAAU
This 1336-nucleotide ribosomal RNA is filed under the name Quadrella coronata. RNAcentral's name for it is "16S ribosomal RNA". The stretch from base 630 to 1336 matches the Rfam family "Archaeal large subunit ribosomal RNA", at positions 1423 to 2801 of the family's 2987-position model. The record is from RNAcentral. Lineage: Eukaryota; Metazoa; Arthropoda; Malacostraca; Decapoda; Trapeziidae.